CCUACGUGAGGCUGCAGUGAGGAAUAUUGGUCAAUGGGCGAGAGCCUGAACCAGCCAAGUCGCGUGAGGGAGUACUGCCCUAUGGGUUGUAAACCUCUUUUGUCGGGGAGCAAAAGCCGGACGUGUCCGGCUGUGAGAGUUCCCUAAGAAAAAGCAUCGGCUAACUCCGUGCCAGCAGCCGCGGUAAUACGGAGGAUACGGGCGUUAUCCGGAUUUAUUGGGUUAAAAGGGUGCGCAGGCGGAUUUUUAAGUCAGCGGUAAAAUCGUGGGGACCAACCCCAUACAGCAGUUGAAACUGGGGAUCUAGAGUGUGCGAGAGGUAUGCGGAAUGCGUGGUGUAGCGGUGAAAUGCAUAGAUAUCACGCAGAACCCCGAUUGCGAAGGCAGCAUACCGGUGCACAACUGACGCUCAGGCACGAAAGCGUGGGUAUCGAACAGGAUUAGAUACCCCAGUAGUC
Molecule: ribosomal RNA, 458 nt
Filed under: uncultured bacterium
Lineage: Bacteria
Description: partial 16S ribosomal RNA
Rfam family: Bacterial small subunit ribosomal RNA
Source: RNAcentral